UGGGGAAUUUUGGACAAUGGGCGAAAGCCUGAUCCAGCAAUGCCGCGUGUGUGAAGAAGGCCUUCGGGUUGUAAAGCACUUUUGUCCGGAAAGAAAUCCUUGGCUCUAAUACAGUCGGGGGAUGACGGUACCGGAAGAAUAAGCACCGGCUAACUACAUGCCAGCAGCCGCGGUAAUACGUAGGGUGCAAGCGUUAAUCGGAAUUACUGGGCGUAAAGCGUGCGCAGGCGGUUUGCUAAGACCGAUGUGAAAUCCCCGGGCUCAACCUGGGAACUGCAUUGGUGACUGGCAGGCUAGAGUAUGGCAGAGGGGGGUAGAAUUCCACGUGUAGCAGUGAAAUGCGUAGAGAUGUGGAGGAAUACCGAUGGCGAAGGCAGCCCCCUGGGCCAAUACUGACGCUCAUGCACGAAAGCGUGGGGAGCAAACAGGAUUAGAUACCCUGGUAGUCCACGCCCUAAACGAUGUCAACUAGUUGUUGGGGAUUCAUUUCCUUAGUAACGUAGCUAACGCGUGAAGUUGACCGCCUGGGGAGUACGGUCGCAAGAUUAAAACUCAAAUGAAUUGACGGGGUCAUAGCUGUUUCCU
RNAcentral lists this ribosomal RNA (585 nucleotides) under uncultured bacterium. RNAcentral describes it as "partial 16S ribosomal RNA". It matches the Rfam family "Bacterial small subunit ribosomal RNA", at positions 355 to 1375 of the family's 1533-position model. The record is from RNAcentral.